This 253-nucleotide ribosomal RNA is filed under the name uncultured bacterium. RNAcentral describes it as "partial 16S ribosomal RNA". It matches the Rfam family "Bacterial small subunit ribosomal RNA", at positions 524 to 776 of the family's 1533-position model. The record is from RNAcentral.
UACGUAGGGUGCAAGCGUUGUCCGGAAUUAUUGGGCGUAAAGAGCUCGUAGGCGGUCUGUCGCGUCUGCUGUGAAAACUCGGGGCUUAACCCCGGGCCUGCAGUGGGUACGGGCAGACUAGAGUGCGGUAGGGGAGACUGGAAUUCCUGGUGUAGCGGUGAAAUGCGCAGAUAUCAGGAGGAACACCGGUGGCGAAGGCGGGUCACUGGCCCGAUACUGACGCUGAGGCACGAAAGCGUGGGGAGCAAACAGG